RNAcentral lists this ribosomal RNA (457 nucleotides) under uncultured bacterium. Its description in RNAcentral is "partial 16S ribosomal RNA". It matches the Rfam family "Bacterial small subunit ribosomal RNA", at positions 28 to 523 of the family's 1533-position model. The record is from RNAcentral.
GAUGAACGCUGGCGGCGUGCCUAAUACAUGCAAGUCGUACGGAAAGGCCCUUCGGGGUACUCGAGUGGCGGACGGCUGAGUAACGCGUGGGAACGUGCCCCAAAGUGAGGGAUAACGCACCGAAAGGUGUGCUAAUACCGCAUAUGGUCUUCGGAUUAAAGCUUCGGCGCUUUGGGAGCGGCCCGCGUACGAUUAGAUAGUUGGUGAGGUAAUGGCUCACCAAGUCGACGAUCGUUAGCUGGUCUGAGAGGAUGAUCAGCCAGACUGGGACUGCGACACGGCCCAGACUGCUACGGGAGGCAGCAGUAAGGAAUCUUCCACAAUGGGGGCAACCCUGAUGGAGCAACGCCGCGUGCAGGAUGAAGGUUUUCGGAUCGUAAACUGCUUUUAUAAGUGAAGAAUAUGACGGUAACUUAUGAAUAAGGACCGGCUAACUACGUGCCAGCCGCCGCGGUAA